UACGUAGGGGGCGAGCGUUGUCCGGAAUUAUUGGGCGUAAAGAGCGUGUAGGCGGUUCGGUAAGUCUGCCGUGAAAACCCAGGGCUCAACCCUGGGCGUGCGGUGGAUACUGCCGGGCUAGAGGGUGGUAGAGGCGAGUGGAAUUCCCGGUGUAGCGGUGAAAUGCGCAGAUAUCAGGAGGAACACCGAUUGCGAAGGCGGCUCGCUGGGCCGUUCCUGACGCUGAGACGCGAAAGCGAGGGGAGCGAACAGG
RNAcentral lists this ribosomal RNA (253 nucleotides) under uncultured bacterium. Its description in RNAcentral is "partial 16S ribosomal RNA". It matches the Rfam family "Bacterial small subunit ribosomal RNA", at positions 524 to 776 of the family's 1533-position model. The record is from RNAcentral.